GACGAACGCUGGCGGCGUGCCUAAUACAUGCAAGUUGAGCGCUGAAGGUUGGUACUUGUACCAACUGGAUGAGCAGCGAACGGGUGAGUAACGCGUGGGGAAUCUGCCUUUGAGCGGGGGACAACAUUUGGAAACGAAUGCUAAUACCGCAUAAAAACUUUAAACACAAGUUUUAAGUUUGAAAGAUGCAAUUGCAUCACUCAAAGAUGAUCCCGCGUUGUAUUAGCUAGUUGGUGAGGUAAAGGCUCACCAAGGCGAUGAUACAUAGCCGACCUGAGAGGGUGAUCGGCAACAUUGGGACUGAGACACGGCCCAAACUCCUACGGGAGGCAGCAGUAGGGAAUCUUCGGCAAUGGACGAAAGUCUGACCGAGCAACGCCGCGUGAGUGAAGAAGGGUGUCGGAUCGUAAAACUCUGUUGGUAGAGAAGAACGUUGGUGAGAGUGGAAAGCUCAUCAAGUGACGGUAACUACCCAGAAAGGGACGGCUAACUACGUG
RNAcentral lists this ribosomal RNA (497 nucleotides) under uncultured bacterium. RNAcentral's name for it is "partial 16S ribosomal RNA". It matches the Rfam family "Bacterial small subunit ribosomal RNA", at positions 28 to 507 of the family's 1533-position model. The record is from RNAcentral.